UCCCGUGUGGUGCAAACGGUUAAUACAUUUGGUUGCUAACCAAAAGGUUGGUGGUUCGAGUCCACGUAGUGGUG
This 74-nucleotide transfer RNA is filed under the name Loxodonta africana (African savanna elephant). It matches the Rfam family "tRNA". Rfam says of the family: Transfer RNA (tRNA) molecules are approximately 80 nucleotides in length. The record is from Rfam by way of RNAcentral. Lineage: Eukaryota; Metazoa; Chordata; Mammalia; Proboscidea; Elephantidae.